Danio rerio (zebrafish) is the source of this 71-nucleotide non-coding RNA. The record is from Rfam. NCBI's taxonomy places the organism in Eukaryota, Metazoa, Chordata, Actinopteri, Cypriniformes, Danionidae.
GCAUUGGUGGUUCAGUGGUAGAAUUCUCUCCUGCCAUGCGGGAGACCCGAGUCCGAUUCCUGGCCAAUGCA